CCUACGGGGGGCAGCAGUGGGGAAUAUUGCACAAUGGGGGAAACCCUGAUGCAGCGACGCCGCGUGAGCGAAGAAGUAUUUCGGUAUGUAAAGCUCUAUCAGCAGGGAAGAAAAUGACGGUACCUGCGUAAGAAGCUCCGGCUAACUACGUGCCAGCAGCCGCGGUAAUACGUAUGGAGCAAGCGUUAUCCGGAUUUACUGGGCGUAAAGGGAGCGUAGGCGGCCUGCCAAGUCUGAUGUGAAAUACCGGGGCUCAACCCCGGGGCUGCAUUGGAAACUGGCAGGCUGGAGUGCCGGAGAGGCAGGCGGAAUUCGUAGUGUAGCGGUGAAAUGCGUAGAUAUUAGGAGGAACACCGGUGGCGAAGGCGGCUUACUGGACCGUAACUGACGUUGAGGCUCGAAAGCGUGGGGAGCAAACAGGAUUAGAUACCCUUGUAGUC
RNAcentral lists this ribosomal RNA (440 nucleotides) under uncultured bacterium. RNAcentral's name for it is "partial 16S ribosomal RNA". It matches the Rfam family "Bacterial small subunit ribosomal RNA", at positions 338 to 795 of the family's 1533-position model. The record is from RNAcentral.